This 72-nucleotide transfer RNA is filed under the name Roseivivax halodurans JCM 10272. It matches the Rfam family "tRNA". Rfam says of the family: Transfer RNA (tRNA) molecules are approximately 80 nucleotides in length. Their secondary structure includes four short double-helical elements and three loops (D, anti-codon, and T loops). Further hydrogen bonds mediate the characteristic L-shaped molecular structure. tRNAs have two regions of fundamental functional importance: the anti-codon, which is responsible for specific mRNA codon recognition, and the 3' end, to which the tRNAs corresponding amino acid is attached (by aminoacyl-tRNA synthetases). tRNAs cope with the degeneracy of the genetic code in two manners: having more than one tRNA (with a specific anti-codon) for a particular amino acid; and 'wobble' base-pairing, i.e. permitting non-standard base-pairing at the 3rd anti-codon position. The record is from Rfam by way of RNAcentral. Lineage: Bacteria; Pseudomonadati; Pseudomonadota; Alphaproteobacteria; Rhodobacterales; Roseobacteraceae.
UUCCCGUUCGUCUAACCGGUAGGACGCGAGACUCUGACUCUCGAAACCGAGGUUCGAACCCUCGACGGGAAG